CUGCUUAUGUUACUCAUCUGUUCCUGCAUGCGGUCUACUUUUUCCAUUAGAGUCCUUAGCAUAUUAAUCCUGGUUGUUUCACAUUUUGGCCUGAGAAUUUCAACAUUCUGCCCUGAGUCUGCUUCCGAUACAUGCUCUGCCUCUUCAAACUGUGGUUUUGUUUUUGCUUUUGCUAUUUAGUAUGCCUUGUAAUUUCUUGUUGAAAAGUGGACAUGAUGUAAAAGGAACUCUGAUAAUUAGGCCUUUAGUAAUGUGGAGGUAAAGUGUGGGGAAGGGCGUAUUCUACAGCCCUUUAAUUAGGUCUCCUGUUUUGGCAAGCCUCUGCUCCUGGGCUGUAAGCUUCACAGGUGCUUCUCAUUAUUUCCUUCCCACUUUAGGUGGGACAGGAUGUCGAGAGGGGCUAGAGGGGCUAGAGCAAGUAGUUCCCCUCUCCAUGUGGAAGGCUAGUGGGAGCUGAAGCUGGGAAUUUCCCUUCCCCCAGGUCAGUUAGGCUCUGGUAAAAUAAAUUCUCCUGAGGGCAGGCUGUGUUAAGAACAGAACGUUCUGGUGCAUUUCAAAAUGGUUGCUUCCUCCCAUCCCUGCCAGAAGCACAAGGGGAUUUUCUCUGAUUUUCACUCUAAGAACCUAAUAGGGCUCCUGGAGAUAAUACUCACAAAAGCGCGGGGGCCCUCCGUGAAUGGCACCCCUAGAGUUUUUAAUUCUCAGAGCUUCCAGCAAUUCAUCAAUUACAGUUCAGGUUUUCUGCCCCCAGCUGGUUCCUGGAGGUUUCUGCUCAGCGUUGGCUGUACGUGCAAACUAUCGGCAAUAACCCGAAUGCACAUGUAUAGGAGGGUGGUCGAAUAAGCCGUGAUGCAUCCACAUAGACGGCCGUGCUAUGCAGCUGGAGAAAAGAAUAAAGAAUGUCUCUGUGAACCGGUAUGGAAUAAUUUCCAGGAUAUAUGAAAUUUAAAAAGCAAAGGAUAAAAGAGCAUCUAGAACACUGGUUAGCUAACUUUUUUCUGGAAAGGGCCAGGUGGCAAAUAUUUUAGAUUUUGUAGAUCACAUGUUCUUGGUGGAGACUACCCAAUUGCAGUUGUAGUGUGAAAGCCAUCACAGCCCAUACUACCGGGAAGGGUACUGAGACUGGGUUCCAAUCAUACUUGGUUUACAAAACAGGCAGCAGGUUAGAUACAGCCCUCAGGCUUUCAUUUGCUGAUCCCUAAUUUGUUGAUUCAUGUAAGAAAGGGCUAUAAGAAAACACAGGAAGGAAAAAAACAAUGAGAUUGAUUAGCUACAGGGAGUAGAAGGGAAUGAGGUAGAAAGAG
RNAcentral lists this long non-coding RNA (1304 nucleotides) under Homo sapiens (human). RNAcentral's name for it is "HSALNT0114020". The record is from RNAcentral. Lineage: Eukaryota; Metazoa; Chordata; Mammalia; Primates; Hominidae.